Molecule: ribosomal RNA, 253 nt
Filed under: uncultured bacterium
Lineage: Bacteria
Description: partial 16S ribosomal RNA
Rfam family: Bacterial small subunit ribosomal RNA
Source: RNAcentral
UACAGAGGUCUCAAGCGUUGUUCGGAUUCAUUGGGCGUAAAGGGAGCGUAGGUGGCGGAGCAAGUCAGGUGUGAAAUCUCGGGGCUCAACCCCGAAACUGCACUUGAUACUGCUUUGCUAGAGUACUGGAGAGGAGAUUGGAAUUUACGGUGUAGCAGUGAAAUGCGUAGAUAUCGUAAGGAAGACCAGUGGCGAAGGCGAAUCUCUGGACAGUUACUGACACUGAGGCUCGAAGGCCAGGGGAGCAAACGGG